This 613-nucleotide ribosomal RNA is filed under the name Cladosporium sp. CBS 125.88. Its description in RNAcentral is "eukaryotic LSU rRNA". It matches the Rfam family "Eukaryotic large subunit ribosomal RNA", at positions 38 to 667 of the family's 3401-position model. The record is from RNAcentral. Lineage: Eukaryota; Fungi; Ascomycota; Dothideomycetes; Cladosporiales; Cladosporiaceae. RNAcentral also lists the same sequence under 1 other name.
GCAUAUCAAUAAGCGGAGGAAAAGAAACCAACAGGGAUUGCCUCAGUAACGGCGAGUGAAGCGGCAACAGCUCAAAUUUGAAAUCUGGCCUCUCGGGGUCCGAGUUGUAAUUUGUAGAGGAUGUUUUGGGCACCGCCUCGGUCUAAAUUUCUUGGAACAGAAUGUCAAAGAGGGUGAGAAUCCCGUCUUGGAUCGGCGGUAGGGCCUGUGUAAAACUCCUUCGACGAGUCGAGUUGUUUGGGAAUGCAGCUCAAAAUGGGUGGUAAAUUUCAUCUAAAGCUAAAUAUUGGCCAGAGACCGAUAGCGCACAAGUAGAGUGAUCGAAAGAUGAAAAGCACUUUGAAAAGAGAGUUAAACAGUAUGUGAAAUUGUUGAAAGGGAAGCGCUUGCAACCAGACUUGUGCGCGGUGGUUCCCCUCGCCUUUUGGCUAGGGUACUCCGCCGCGUCCAGGCCAACAUCGGUUUUGGGGGUCAGUUAAAGGCCUUGGGAAUGUACCUACCUACGGGUAGACUUAUAGACCAGGGUGCCAUGUGACCUCCCGGGACCGAGGAACGCGCUUCGGCUCGGAUGUUGGCGUAAUGGUUGUCAGCGACCCGUCUUGAAACACGGACC